Molecule: long non-coding RNA, 1940 nt
Filed under: Homo sapiens (human)
Lineage: Eukaryota; Metazoa; Chordata; Mammalia; Primates; Hominidae
Description: HSALNT0292909
Source: RNAcentral
CUUAGCCUAUUUUCACCGGAAGAUUCCGCCAAAGCCACCAGGACGGUAACCGUCCUAGAGAACUGACUUGUAACUCAAUUCAACAGAAAAAGAAUGCAUGUUAAGUGCCAGAAUAUAUCUAUGCUAGGAUAUAAAGGAAGAGCAAUAUUUUGCACAUUCUCCAGAAUAGGGAUGAUCCCUAAGGGAGAUAUCAAAGAGUUGGGUAUUCUAAUACUAGGAGGCAGCGUCCGUUCUGCCUAGAGAGCAGAUGUGACUGUUUAGAACUCUUUGUUGAGCGAAUAAACUGGGGAGAAGGGCAAGGUUAAGUCCGACGCAUUUUCAGAUCCGCCACCAUUUACCUUAGGACCUGGAGAAAAGACUGUUUCAGUUAGCUAGCUUGAAGGCCUGCUUGGGAAGCAAGAUAGACAAGGAUUUUUUUUCCCCAUCCUCUAGCCUCACGCCUUAUUUUUCUUUCACAAUUCUGGCCAAAGAAAGCAGUAACUCAUAAUCAGAAGAGAAUUUAUCAUGAAGUUAAUUAAGCUGUGUACCUAAUUUUGUAUCUGUCAUCGUGUAUUCUUAAAAGAAGACUCCGACAUUGUAUAAGUUCUGGAUCUGAACAAAACCUGGAUAAACUCUGGUGCUUUAUUAACUUGAUGAAGAUUAGUGACACUGAGGAAUACUGAGGAACCAGGCUCUAUUCCACCCCAUCCCCUUCAUACACACCUCAUUCCAAAUGCUAUCCUGUCACAGCAGAUGCCACAUCACUUUUGGGGUGGGCUAAGAGAUCAAGAUACACCUACAUUACCAUUUCAAGAGCAACUCAUGGAAGCAUCAGUCCUUUUCAUCUGUCAUUUUACAAGUAGGAAAACUUCAGCUUCUCAAGUGGGCUGGUUCUGUGAUCGACUUCUCUCAGUCUUGAAGAAAACACUGGAAAUUUUUAUGUGGUAAAUAGUUUCCCAAAGUCAGCUGCAAACCAACACUGAAGUGAAAGUUUUCCUAAAUCCUGGAUAGUCCCAUGUUUGGCCCUGAGCCCAUUAUGUGUGAUUUUAUGUUCAAGAUCCUUAAAAUCUGGAUGCUUCAUUUUGCAACCCCAUUGUACCUAACAGGGUGCUGGGCCAUAGAGGAUGUAGAACUUGGGGCAAAUCCUCUAAGAUGGUGAUGCAGAAGGCAGUCACCACCCCAGACACAGGUGGAACAAAUUCUUAGGGUGCUGAGUCUCCAGAGCACCAAAUCACUGCUGCUCACUUGACAACAUCUAAUUAAAGGGAAGGAACUAGCAUUUUCUGAACACUAAACUAAGUGCAUGGGUUUUUCAUGUAUUUAUCCAUUCGAAUGUGAAAGGUUUCGUGAGAAGGAUUACCAUACCCAAAGAGAUAAAACUCUGGAAUGCAGCUGAGUGUGGGCUAAGCAGUGAUUGCUAGUGAUCCUCAAUGUUGCUCUCCAUCUUCUAUGCUUCUGUGCCCUUUAGCUGGGCAUGUGGCCACAUAGUAUAAAUAUUUUUCAGUCUCUUUCAUGUCUUGGACCUGCCACAUGCAAGUUUUCUGUAAUCUACUAGAUGCAUACAUAGGACUAAGUUGUAGCCAUUGUAAUUAUAAGCAAAAAUAAUAUGUGCAAUUUCUGGUAUGGAUCCUUAAAAAGGAGGGUAGGUGGUAUGUCCUUCCAAUCCUUCUCCCUUUCUUCUAGUUGGAAUAUGGAGCUCCAGCAGGUACUUGGACCAUGAGUUAACCUUGAGGGUGGAAGACAUUCACAAUGAAACAGUAAAAUAGAAGAACCCCGAGCUCCAGAGAGCCCUAGCAACCCUAGACUGAUUACCUCUAGAUUACUUAGAGGUGAGAGAAAAACAAACUACUUAGUUAUUAUUUUGCCACUGUUAUUUUGCUUUUUUCUGUUAUGUGCAUCCAAACUAACUGGGGUACAACCUACCACCAUUAACCACUGGAUUUCAGACUUUUUUUCUUUUU